AAUGAGUUUUGGCUUGGAUCUUAAAUGUCUCAUGGAGGUGUGAGAAGCGUGGGCGCCACCCGGUGCCUGGGCACUACCAGGUGUGUGGGCGCCACCCGGUGCGUGGGCACUGAGGGGACCUGUGAAGCCUUUAAGAGGCGGUUCUAUUUGGAAGGGAGGUGGGCGGCAUCUGCAGGCUCUGGCUCCUCCUCUAGCACUUUGUCCUCAGAACACCUGACCAGCUUGCCUCUUCUCUGCCAAGAGAAAGCAACGGAGACAGUCAAUCAUGGAUGAAACUCCCCUCCAUCUUGACUGUAUACAGGUAGCAGCCCUGUGUCUACGCCUAUAGAGUUCCCUCCAUCUCUGCUGGAUAAUGACAGCUGCAGCUCGUAACUCCAAGUACCGCUGCCUCUCUAAGUGAGCACGCCAGGAUGCUUGAAGAAGGGAAGCUGCACUAGCCAUGAUGAAAGCAUCUUUCUCCACAGCCGCAUUUCUAACUUGCUUCUGAUUUAGAUAGUUCCUCCAGAAUCGCUAAGGGAAAUGAAAAGAGAAAAUGGCUGUCACAUUACCACUUGUUAAAUAGAAGAGUAAAAUGGCUCUUUCAUAUGGAGAAUCCCUUUCUCAUCCUACCUGAAUAAUAACAGACGCCUGUCUCAAGUGAAGGAACUGCUGCCUAGAGAGCAAGACCCUGAACCACCGCUGCAGCAGUAUGAUUCUGCGAAGCACUUCCUGAUGAAGCAGAUCCUCUUCCCUGAAAGCAACCACAGCUCUAAAAAAUGCUCGGAGAACUGCCCAUCGGAAAACAGCUACAGGAUCAAUGCCAGUCAUC
Molecule: long non-coding RNA, 808 nt
Organism: Rattus rattus (black rat)
Lineage: Eukaryota; Metazoa; Chordata; Mammalia; Rodentia; Muridae
Exons: 4
Source: RefSeq, a predicted model, not a curated record